This 210-nucleotide unclassified non-coding RNA is filed under the name fungal sp. RNAcentral describes it as "partial internal transcribed spacer region". The stretch from base 1 to 46 matches the Rfam family "Eukaryotic small subunit ribosomal RNA", at positions 1786 to 1831 of the family's 1831-position model. The record is from RNAcentral. Lineage: Eukaryota; Fungi.
AAGUCGUAACAAGGUUUCCGUAGGUGAACCUGCGGAAGGAUCAUUAGAGGUUUCUCUCUUAAUUAUAUAUAACCCCAAAUUUUUCUCUUGUCCUUAUUUGUUGUGGCCAGGUCCCUUGUGGACUUUGCUCAACAAAAAAAAACCUGUUUCUUUUUUCUUUUUUACCUUUUUAAUCUCAUACAACUCUUAACGGUGGAUGACUCGGUUUCC